RNAcentral lists this ribosomal RNA (811 nucleotides) under Bacillus pumilus. Its description in RNAcentral is "bacterial SSU rRNA". It matches the Rfam family "Bacterial small subunit ribosomal RNA", at positions 79 to 875 of the family's 1533-position model. Lineage: Bacteria; Bacillati; Bacillota; Bacilli; Caryophanales; Bacillaceae. The record is from RNAcentral.
UUGCUCCCGGAUGUUAGCGGCGGACGGGUGAGUAACACGUGGGUAACCUGCCUGUAAGACUGGGAUAACUCCGGGAAACCGGAGCUAAUACCGGAUAGUUCCUUGAACCGCAUGGUUCAAGGAUGAAAGACGGUUUCGGCUGUCACUUACAGAUGGACCCGCGGCGCAUUAGCUAGUUGGUGGGGUAAUGGCUCACCAAGGCGACGAUGCGUAGCCGACCUGAGAGGGUGAUCGGCCACACUGGGACUGAGACACGGCCCAGACUCCUACGGGAGGCAGCAGUAGGGAAUCUUCCGCAAUGGACGAAAGUCUGACGGAGCAACGCCGCGUGAGUGAUGAAGGUUUUCGGAUCGUAAAGCUCUGUUGUUAGGGAAGAACAAGUGCGAGAGUAACUGCUCGCACCUUGACGGUACCUAACCAGAAAGCCACGGCUAACUACGUGCCAGCAGCCGCGGUAAUACGUAGGUGGCAAGCGUUGUCCGGAAUUAUUGGGCGUAAAGGGCUCGCAGGCGGUUUCUUAAGUCUGAUGUGAAAGCCCCCGGCUCAACCGGGGAGGGUCAUUGGAAACUGGGAAACUUGAGUGCAGAAGAGGAGAGUGGAAUUCCACGUGUAGCGGUGAAAUGCGUAGAGAUGUGGAGGAACACCAGUGGCGAAGGCGACUCUCUGGUCUGUAACUGACGCUGAGGAGCGAAAGCGUGGGGAGCGAACAGGAUUAGAUACCCUGGUAGUCCACGCCGUAAACGAUGAGUGCUAAGUGUUAGGGGGUUUCCGCCCCUUAGUGCUGCAGCUAACGCAUUAAGCACUCCGCCUG